GCAUUCACUUUAAAUAGGGCACCGUCUAAAUCCGUUGAGACGACACCGUAUGAAUUAUGGUUUGGGAAGAAACCUAAGCCGUCGUUUCUAAAAGUUUGGGGAUGCGAUGCUUAUGUCAAGAAACUUCAACCUGAAAAGCUCGAACCCAAAUCGGAAAAAUGCGUCUUCAUAGGAUACCCUAAGGAAACUAUUGGGUAUACCUUCUACCUCAGAUCCGAAGGCAAGAUCUUCGUUGCCAAGAACGGGUCCUUUCUAGAGAAGGAGUUUCUCUCGAAAGAAUUGAGUGGGAGGAAAGUGGAACUUGAUGAGGUGAUAGUCACCCCUUCCGAACCGGAAAGUAGCGCAGCGCGGGAAAAUGUUCCUGUGGUGCCUACACCGACUGGGGAGGAAGUUAAU
RNAcentral lists this ribosomal RNA (396 nucleotides) under Triticum aestivum (bread wheat). RNAcentral describes it as "partial small subunit ribosomal RNA". The record is from RNAcentral. Lineage: Eukaryota; Viridiplantae; Streptophyta; Magnoliopsida; Poales; Poaceae.